RNAcentral lists this ribosomal RNA (408 nucleotides) under Serratia sp. AZTITEMP222. RNAcentral's name for it is "bacterial SSU rRNA". It matches the Rfam family "Bacterial small subunit ribosomal RNA", at positions 972 to 1378 of the family's 1533-position model. The record is from RNAcentral. Lineage: Bacteria; Pseudomonadati; Pseudomonadota; Gammaproteobacteria; Enterobacterales; Yersiniaceae.
UNCCNNCUCUUGNNUCNNCNGAAUUCGGCAGAGAUGCCUUAGUGCCUUCGGGAACUGUGAGACAGGUGCUGCAUGGCUGUCGUCAGCUCGUGUUGUGAAAUGUUGGGUUAAGUCCCGCAACGAGCGCAACCCUUAUCCUUUGUUGCCAGCACGUAAUGGUGGGAACUCAAAGGAGACUGCCGGUGAUAAACCGGAGGAAGGUGGGGAUGACGUCAAGUCAUCAUGGCCCUUACGAGUAGGGCUACACACGUGCUACAAUGGCGUAUACAAAGAGAAGCGAACUCGCGAGAGCCAGCGGACCUCAUAAAGUACGUCGUAGUCCGGAUCGGAGUCUGCAACUCGACUCCGUGAAGUCGGAAUCGCUAGUAAUCGUAGAUCAGAAUGCUACGGUGAAUACGUUCCCGGGAA